RNAcentral lists this ribosomal RNA (575 nucleotides) under Stenotrophomonas maltophilia. Its description in RNAcentral is "bacterial LSU rRNA". It matches the Rfam family "Bacterial large subunit ribosomal RNA", at positions 921 to 1501 of the family's 2925-position model. Lineage: Bacteria; Pseudomonadati; Pseudomonadota; Gammaproteobacteria; Lysobacterales; Lysobacteraceae. The record is from RNAcentral.
AGGGGGUCAUCGCGACUUACCAAACCAUUGCAAACUCCGAAUACCGAGACGGACUGUAUGGGAGACACACGGCGGGUGCUAACGUCCGUCGUGAAAAGGGAAACAACCCAGACCCACAGCUAAGGUCCCAAUUUGUGCUAAGUGGAAAACCAUGUGGAAAGGCACAGACAGCCAGGAGGUUGGCUUAGAAGCAGCCACCCUUUAAAGAAAGCGUAAUAGCUCACUGGUCGAGUCGGUCUGCGGGGAAGAUUUAACGGGGCUAAGCACAGAACCGAAGCUUGGGGUGCAUAACUUUGUUAUGCGCGGUAGAGGAGCGUUCCGUAAGCCGUUGAAGGUGGAUUGAGAAGUCUGCUGGAGGUAUCGGAAGUGCGAAUGCUGACAUGAGUAACGAUAAUGCGGGUGAAAACCCGCACGCCGAAAGCCCAAGGUUUCCUUGCGCAACGUUAAUCGGCGCAGGGUGAGUCGGCCCCUAAGGCGAGGACGAAAGUCGUAGUCGAUGGGAAGCAGGUUAAUAUUCCUGCACCUCGCGUAAGUGCGAUGGAGGGACGGAGAAGGUUAGGUGUACCAGGCGUUGG